Molecule: ribosomal RNA, 627 nt
Filed under: Escherichia coli
Lineage: Bacteria; Pseudomonadati; Pseudomonadota; Gammaproteobacteria; Enterobacterales; Enterobacteriaceae
Description: partial 23S ribosomal RNA
Rfam family: Bacterial large subunit ribosomal RNA
Source: RNAcentral
CAGUCUGCAUGGAGCCGGCCUUGAAAUACCACCCUUUAAUGUUUGAUGUUCUAACGUUGGCCCGUAAUCCGGGUUGCGGACAGUGUCUGGUGGGUAGUUUGACUGGGGCGGUCUCCUCCUAAAGAGUAACGGAGGAGCACGAAGGUUGGCUAAUCCUGGUCGGACAUCAGGAGGUUAGUGCAAUGGCAUAAGCCAGCUUGACUGCGAGCGUGACGGCGCGAGCAGGUGCGAAAGCAGGUCAUAGUGAUCCGGUGGUUCUGAAUGGAAGGGCCAUCGCUCAACGGAUAAAAGGUACUCCGGGGAUAACAGGCUGAUACCGCCCAAGAGUUCAUAUCGACGGCGGUGUUUGGCACCUCGAUGUCGGCUCAUCACAUCCUGGGGCUGAAGUAGGUCCCAAGGGUAUGGCUGUUCGCCAUUUAAAGUGGUACGCGAGCUGGGUUUAGAACGUCGUGAGACAGUUCGGUCCCUAUCUGCCGUGGGCGCUGGAGAACUGAGGGGGGCUGCUCCUAGUACGAGAGGACCGGAGUGGACGCAUCACUGGUGUUCGGGUUGUCAUGCCAAUGGCACUGCCCGGUAGCUAAAUGCGGAAGAGAUAAGUGCUGAAAGCAUCUAAGCACGAAACUUGCC